AAAAGUUCAUGACAAUCCAUUCAGCAGUUUCUGAGAUAUUUCACUGCUGAAUAUAAAUGAGAUGUAAAUGUUGAGAGUUCCUCAACAGAUGAUAAAGAGGAAGGACCAAUGAUGUGAAGGCCCAGAUCCAUCAGAGUAUCAAUGUUCUUCCUCUCUCUCCUCCCCUCUCACUGCAGACAUGAAACACUGGCUGAGAAACAUCCUGAUUCUGACUCUCUGGCUAGAGUGUAAAGGAGAAGACAGAGUGACCCAGCCACCAGGAGAUGUCAUUGCUACUGAAGGAGAGACAGUUACACUUGGAUGUACAUUUGAGAACAGUAACCCAGGUCUAACUUUGUUCUGGUACAAACAGGAUGGAAACAACAGCCCCAAAUUCAUACUGAGCCGCAUUCAACGAGAUGAAGGGAACACAGCAGAGAAGUUCAAGGAGAGAUUUUCAUCCACACUGAAUUCCACCUUAAAAUCAGUUCCUCUGAAGAUCCAGAAGCUUCAGCUGUCUGACUCUGCUGUGUACUACUGUGCUCUGCAGCCCACAGUGACAGGAAACACCAAAACUCUGUACAAAAACCUUUGGAGCAAAGACAACAGAAUACUCCACAACAUCCACUAGAGGGAGUCACACACUGUUAAACUUCAGUGGUAUGGGAUUGAAUGGCUGGUUCAUGUAAAGGAUAAUGUCUGACUAUGUGUCUACUAUCAGGAAUUAAUUGACCAUGUGGGUGUGGGGCCGUUGCCCUCACAAUGUCCAUUCAUUCUGUAAAAUGGACACCUCAAACUGCAUGAAUCCACUUAUACCAUGGUCACUUUCCAAUGAAGAAAAAUAAUCUGUAUUUUAUAUUUUCAUGUUU
Non-coding RNA from Dicentrarchus labrax (European seabass), 848 nucleotides. The record is from the annotation of a RefSeq genome assembly. Lineage: Eukaryota; Metazoa; Chordata; Actinopteri; Moronidae.